This 381-nucleotide ribosomal RNA is filed under the name uncultured archaeon. RNAcentral describes it as "bacterial SSU rRNA". It matches the Rfam family "Archaeal small subunit ribosomal RNA", at positions 473 to 853 of the family's 1478-position model. The record is from RNAcentral.
AUACCGGCGGCUCGAGUGGUGGCCACUAUUACUGGGCUUAAAGCGUCCGUAGCUGGAUUGUUAAGUCUCUUGGGAAAUCCACCGGCUCAACCGAUGGGCGUUCAGGAGAAACUGGCAAUCUAGGGACCGGGAGAGGUGAGAGGUACUCCAGGGGUAGGAGUGAAAUCCUGUAACCCUUGGGGGACCACCUGUGGCGAAGGCGUCUCACUAGAACGGCUCCGACAGUGAGGGACGAAAGCUGGGGGAGCAAACCGGAUUAGAUACCCGGGUAGUCCCAGCUGUAAACGAUGCGCGUUAGGUGUAUCGGUGACCACGAGUCAUCGAGGUGCCGAAGGGAAACCGUGAAACGUGCCGCCUGGGAAGUACGGUCGCAAGGCUGAA